GCAAAUGUUAAUCCAGAGAAAUUGGUUUGGAGUAUAAAACAAGAAUAUAAGAUGGAUUGUGGUUCACCUUUUUUUCUACUUUCUUUUGUCUCUCUUUUCCCUCUCUUGUAAAGUUUUAUUGCUUUUAAUUUAUUUUUGCAUAUAACUUGUGAGGUUUUCCAGAGCUUCUUUUUCUAUUUUCUCAUGACUCUUAUUGAUACUUGAAACUUUAGGUUUUAAUU
RNAcentral lists this unclassified non-coding RNA (221 nucleotides) under Hevea brasiliensis (rubber tree). Lineage: Eukaryota; Viridiplantae; Streptophyta; Magnoliopsida; Malpighiales; Euphorbiaceae. The record is from RNAcentral.